GUUUUUCUUAUCUUCAGAAUGUGGAUGCCCUUCUUCGGUGUCCUAUUUGUUUUGACUUUCUCAACAUUUCAAUGAUGACGAAAUGCUCUCACAACUUUUGCUCCUUAUGCAUCAGAAAGUUUCUUUGCUUUAAGAUGCAGUGUCCUGUUUGCAAUGCACAAGCAACAGAGCAAGAUCUAAGAACCAACCGUUUAUUGGACGAGCUGGUUGUUAACUUCCAGGCUGCAAGGUAACCAUACAAC
Molecule: long non-coding RNA, 242 nt
Organism: Notothenia coriiceps (black rockcod)
Lineage: Eukaryota; Metazoa; Chordata; Actinopteri; Perciformes; Nototheniidae
Exons: 3
Source: RefSeq, a predicted model, not a curated record